Molecule: non-coding RNA, 67 nt
Organism: Biomphalaria glabrata
Lineage: Eukaryota; Metazoa; Mollusca; Gastropoda; Planorbidae
Source: Rfam
GGAAACCUGGUCUCUUCUGGUGCUUAGAUUUUAAAAAGGGUCUAGCACCAUUUGAAAUCAGUUUUCU